This 254-nucleotide ribosomal RNA is filed under the name uncultured bacterium. RNAcentral describes it as "partial 16S ribosomal RNA". It matches the Rfam family "Bacterial small subunit ribosomal RNA", at positions 524 to 776 of the family's 1533-position model. The record is from RNAcentral.
UACAGAGGGUGCGAGCGUUGUUCGGAAUUACUGGGCGUAAAGCGCGCGCAGGCGGCCCUUUAAGUCGGUCGGUCAAACGCCGGGGCUCAACCCCGUGCUCGCCGGAGAUACUGGAGGGCUGGAGACAGGUAGAGGCAGGCGGAAUUCCUGGUGUAGCGGUGAAAUGCGCAGAUAUCAGGAAGAACACCUAUGGCGAAAGCAGCUCUCUGGGACGUUACUGACGCUGAGACGCGAAAGCGUGGGGAGCAAACAGG